RNAcentral lists this ribosomal RNA (497 nucleotides) under uncultured bacterium. RNAcentral's name for it is "partial 16S ribosomal RNA". It matches the Rfam family "Bacterial small subunit ribosomal RNA", at positions 28 to 507 of the family's 1533-position model. The record is from RNAcentral.
GAUGAACGCUGGCGGCGUGCCUAAUACAUGCAAGUCGAGCGAACGGACGAGAAGCUUGCUUCUCUGAUGUUAGCGGCGGACGGGUGAGUAACACGUGGAUUACCUACCUAUAAGACUGGGAUAACUUCGGGAAACCGGAGCUAAUACCGGAUGAUAUUUUGAACCGCAUGGUUCAAAAGUGAAAGACGGUCUUGCUGUCACUUAUAGAUGGAUCCGCGCUGCAUUAGCUAGUUGGUAAGGUAACGGCUUACCAAGGCAACGAUGCAUAGCCGACCUGAGAGGGUGAUCGGCCACACUGGAACUGAGACACGGUCCAGACUCCUACGGGAGGCAGCAGUAGGGAAUCUUCCGCAAUGGGCGAAAGCCUGACGGAGCAACGCCGCGUGAGUGAUGAAGGUCUUCGGAUCGUAAAACUCUGUUAUUAGGGAAGAACAUAUGUGUAAGUAACCGUGGCCAUCUUGACGGUACCUAAUCAGAAAGCCACGGCUAACUACGUG